This 2639-nucleotide long non-coding RNA is filed under the name Ricinus communis (castor bean). Its description in RNAcentral is "long non-coding RNA (RCOM_LNC001778)". The record is from RNAcentral. Lineage: Eukaryota; Viridiplantae; Streptophyta; Magnoliopsida; Malpighiales; Euphorbiaceae.
CUAUUAUGGGAAGAAAAAGAAAGAAGAAAGAGAAAAUGACGAAGAAAAAGAGGAGAAGGAGGUAGAGCUGCCAUUAAUGAUAGGUGGAGGAGGAGCUUGUGCUGGGAUGCGGUGGCGACGACCGGAGAAGUUGCAGUCGACGACGAGCUCAAUGGCCGUGAUGACAGCAGCUAGCAGUAGCGUUGGGCAGCGGAAAUUGAGAAAGAUAGCAGUAGCUUGCUUGCCAUUGUCUAGAGCAAUUCCAGCAACCAUUGCCGACGGUUCUGGUCUCAAAAUAACCAGUAGCAGCAAGCUUCCAUUUCCGCCCAUCAUCACUUCCUGAGGUUGUCAGAGAAGCAAGAUCUGGCGAAGGGAAGUUUGUAUAGGCAGCUCCAUUUUUUAAAUUUUUUCGGCCAUCUCCGGCGAGAUUAGGCUGAUCAGAGCUCACCAACGGACUCCCCAAAUCACAAGCUUUCCAAUGAUACUAAUUUCGCAGGAAUCAGACUCUGUUAGAAAAUCGAUGGUUGAAAUUGUCCAUGAUAUAUCGGGUUGAGCUGGAGUUGGAUCAAAGAAUCAAAUGCUAGUACACAUUGUUUCGAGUUCAUAGAUGCACUCGGAUUAUCAAUCGGAUUGAAGCAUCCGAGUAAUUCUUUAGCCUCAUGAUUUUAGAAAGAUUAACUAAAAAUUUUAUUAGUAUUACUUUGAGAAAAUUUUGAGAAAAUUGAUUUAAUGUAUAUAAAUAUCUUUGGAGAUUAAAAUAUGUGUCAUUAAAUUGAGUAAAUUUAGUAAUGUGAUAAUUUUUUAAAGACUAUUAUUAGUUGCUUUAUAAAUAUUAAUAAGGUGAAGUAAAUUAAUUAGAAUAUACAAGUUAAUGGAACUUAAUAAUGACAAUUAGAAAUUUUAGAAAUUUAAUUUACUAAAUUUUGAUUGAUAUUUUAAUUAAGCAAUUAGUCUAUAAUUAAAUUCAAUUGUAUUAUUAGUAGAUAAUUGAUAUAAUGAUAGAAAAAUCAUAUAUUUGUUAGAAUAAAUAAUUUAAAACUUUAUAUAUAUAAAUGAUUAGAGAAGAUAAGUAAAAUUAAUAUUAGAUGUAUAAUUAAUAAUAUAGUUGACAUUAAAUAAUUAGUUUGGAUUGAUGCUUAAUUUAUAAGGUAGAUCAAUUGUUAAUUUUAAAUACUCAAGGUUAAGUAUUAAUAGUCAAUAAAUAAAUAUUAAUGUUGGAAAAUAAAUAAAUAGGAGCGAUAAUCAUUAUCAAACCAGUUAUUGAUUGAUACAAAGAGAAAUAAUUAUAAUGAAAUUUUAUAUGCUAUAAAAAUAAUUAGAUAGGGUAAAAAUAAUUAUUGACGGUUAUGAUGAUAAAUUAUUUGAUCAAAGGUAGGGGUAAAUUUAAUAAAAUUUAUUUUUGAGGUAAUACAUAAAUUUUUAUGAAAAGUGUUGUGUGAAUAUUUUCUUGCAGUUCUUGGACUCGUUUUUAUAGGAAAAAUUAGUCUAUUUUAUAAGAGAGGUGUUGUUGAAUUUUCGAUAGAAUUAGUUAUUUGAAAUAGAUAGAUAAAUAAUAGGAUUAUGCUAAAAUAAGACUAGGAUUAGAAUUCAAUUUUAAAUAUAGAAUAAUAAACGUUGGUUGAGGAUUAUUAGAUUUGAGAUUUAAGAUUAAUUCUAAAGUAUGUUUGUGCAUGAAAUUCUAGGGUUGUGCGCUCACAUAAUAGUUCGGAGGGAAUUGCAGAAAAUUUUACUAAAGAUAUAGUUGGUCGAAUCCUGCAUACCAAGUGAGUGGAUAAACCUAUAACAUCAUGUUUCUCAGUAAUAUAUUAUGAUUUAUUGGAAUAUUUCUACUGAAGCAUGUGUUUUAAAUGCAUUUAGACAUUUGAUAUUUUCUAUAGAAAUUGGGAAUAAAGAAUAGUAUUUUUAAUUUUUCUUUAUAUGUAAUUAUGAUUUUACAUAGCUGGAUACACUUAUUUGUAUGAUCUAUGAGAUCACACUUUGGACGUUGAGUGUCAUCAGAUUACACUAUCUCUUGGACAACGCUUAGUAUAUACAUCACUUUUGGGGCAUAUGCUAGGUGGUGUCUUUUGGGAGCUUAUUGUCCACGCGUGUAUAACUGCACUUUGGGUUGCCAGGUGAAACAUCUUUGCAUCCAAAAUUGUCAGGAAUAAGUAGGAUAUAUCUAUGAGUGUAUAUUGUUUUCGACUGAAUUAUUUAUUUUAUUUAUUACCAUUUUUUCUUGGUAUGAUAAUAAAAUUUAAAUUUGUAGCAUAAAUUUUUCAGAUAGAUUUAAGAUUAUAUAGUUAAUUGAUUUUAUAACAGAAAAUGAUUUUCAAUUUUAGAUAUAUAUAGAAGUGCUUCUUUAUUUAAUUAGUUUCAUAAAAUCUCAUUUGUCCAGCUAGAAUGUUUUUUAUCAAACAUUUUUGUUCAGAAUGAUAGCAGUAUUUUCUUCAAUAGAAAAGUAUUUAAGAAUAAUACAAUAUUGAAUUUUAUUUAAGUCCUUGUAUGUUUCCCUUUGUUAUUUGUUUAUCCUUUCACUGAAUUUUACUCAUUUUUAUUUUUACCGACCAGUGCAGGAUGUCUAAGAGUUGAAUUAGAAUUGAAGCAGUAGCAGUUAGAGGUUCGAGUUGCCGGAUUCUAUAAUCUAAAAAAAAAUGAUAAUUAGGUCCAGUUCAGGUACG